UACGUUCCCGGGCCUUGUACACACCGCCCGUCACGUCACGAAAGUUAGCAACACCCGAAGCCGGUGGCCUAACCCGUAAGGGAGGGAGCCGUCGAAGGUGGGGCCAGCGAUUGGGACG
This 118-nucleotide ribosomal RNA is filed under the name uncultured bacterium. RNAcentral's name for it is "partial 16S ribosomal RNA". It matches the Rfam family "Bacterial small subunit ribosomal RNA", at positions 1367 to 1482 of the family's 1533-position model. The record is from RNAcentral.